AGCGCAGGUGGGAAAGUAAGUCAGUCUUAAAAGUGCGGGGCUUAACCCCGUGAGGGGACCGAAACUGCGAUGCUAGAGUAUCGGAGAGGAAAGCGGAAUUCCUAGUGUAGCGGUGAAAUGCGUAGAUAUUAGGAGGAACACCAGUGGCGAAAGCGGCUUUCUGGACGACAACUGACGCUGAGGCGCGAAAGCCAGGGGAGCAAACGG
Molecule: ribosomal RNA, 207 nt
Filed under: uncultured bacterium
Lineage: Bacteria
Description: partial 16S ribosomal RNA
Rfam family: Bacterial small subunit ribosomal RNA
Source: RNAcentral